RNAcentral lists this ribosomal RNA (465 nucleotides) under Vreelandella stevensii. RNAcentral describes it as "partial 16S ribosomal RNA". It matches the Rfam family "Bacterial small subunit ribosomal RNA", at positions 338 to 795 of the family's 1533-position model. The record is from RNAcentral. Lineage: Bacteria; Pseudomonadati; Pseudomonadota; Gammaproteobacteria; Oceanospirillales; Halomonadaceae.
CCUACGGGUGGCAGCAGUGGGGAAUAUUGGACAAUGGGGGCAACCCUGAUCCAGCCAUGCCGCGUGUGUGAAGAAGGCCCUCGGGUUGUAAAGCACUUUCAGUGAGGAAGAACGCCUGGUGGUUAAUACCCAUCAGGAAAGACGUCACUCACAGAAGAAGCACCGGCUAACUCCAUGCCAGCAGCCGCGGUAAUACGGAGGGUGCGAGCGUUAAUCGGAAUUACUGGGCGUAAAGCGCGCGUAGGUGGCUUGAUAAGCCGGUUGUGAAAGCCCCGGGCUCAACCUGGGAACGGCAUCCGGAACUGUCAAGCUAGAGUGCAGGAGAGGAAGGUAGAAUUCCCGGUGUAGCGGUGAAAUGCGUAGAGAUCGGGAGGAAUACCAGUGGCGAAGGCGGCCUUCUGGACUGACACUGACACUGAGGUGCGAAAGCGUGGGUAGCAAACAGGAUUAGAUACCCCGGUAGUC